RNAcentral lists this ribosomal RNA (506 nucleotides) under uncultured bacterium. RNAcentral's name for it is "partial 16S ribosomal RNA". It matches the Rfam family "Bacterial small subunit ribosomal RNA", at positions 29 to 523 of the family's 1533-position model. The record is from RNAcentral.
AUUGAACGCUGGCGGCAGGCCUAACACAUGCAAGUCGAACGGCAGCACAGAAGAGCUUGCUCUUUGGGUGGCGAGUGGCGGACGGGUGAGUAAUGUCUGGGAAACUGCCCAAUGGAGGGGGAUAACUACUGGAAACGGUAGCUAAUACCGCAUAACGUCGCGAGACCAAAGUGGGGGACCUUCGGGCCUCACACCAUCGGAUGUGCCCAGAUGGGAUUAGCUAGUAGGUGGGGUAAUGGCUCACCUAGGCGACGAUCCCUAGCUGGUCUGGGAGGAUGACCAGCCAGACUGGAACUGAGCCAAGGUCCAGACGCCUACGGGAGGCAGAGGUGGGGAAGAUUGCACAAUGGGCGGAAGCCUGAUGCAGCCAUGCCGCGUGUAUGAAGAAGGCCUUCGGGUUGUAAAGUACUUUCAGCGGGGAGGAAGGCGGUGAGGUUAAUAACCUUGCCGAUUGACGUUACCCGCAGAAGAAGCACCGGCUAACUCCGUGCCAGCCGCCGCCGUAA